This 1037-nucleotide non-coding RNA is filed under the name Perkinsus marinus ATCC 50983. RNAcentral describes it as "Eukaryotic small subunit ribosomal RNA". It matches the Rfam family "Eukaryotic small subunit ribosomal RNA", at positions 51 to 1093 of the family's 1831-position model. The record is from Rfam by way of RNAcentral. Lineage: Eukaryota; Perkinsozoa; Perkinsida; Perkinsidae.
AUGCAUGUCUAGUAUAAGCUUUAAACGGCGAAACUGCGAAUGGCUCAUUAAAACAGUUAUAGUUUAUUUGGUGAUCGAUUACUAUUUGGAUAACCGUAGUAAUUCUAGAGCUAAUACAUGCGUCAAGGCCCGACUUCGGAAGGGCUGCGUUUAUUAGAUACAGAACCAACCUAGGCUCCGCCUAGUCCUUGUUGGUGAUUCAUAAUAACCCGGCGAAUCGCACGGCUUGUCCGGCGAUGGACCAUUCAAGUUUCUGACCUAUCAGCUAUGGACGGUAGGGUAUUGGCCUACCGUGGCGUUGACGGGUAACGGGGAAUUAGGGUUCGAUUCCGGAGAGGGAGCCUGAGAAACGGCUACCACAUCUAAGGAAGGCAGCAGGCGCGCAAAUUACCCAAUCCUGAUACAGGGAGGUAGUGACAAGAAAUAACAAUACAGGGCAAUUCUGUCUUGUAAUUGGAAUGAGUAGAUUUUAAAUCUCUUUACGAGUAUCAAUUGGAGGGCAAGUCUGGUGCCAGCAGCCGCGGUAAUUCCAGCUCCAAUAGCGUAUAUUAAAGUUGUUGCGGUUAAAAAGCUCGUAGUUGGAUUUCUGCCUUGGGCGACCGAUCCACCUUUCCUACGGGAUUGGUUGGUAUCAGGUUUGACCUUGGCUUUUUCUUGGGAUUCGUGCUCACGUACUUAACUGUGCGUUGACCGUGUUCCAAGACUUUUACUUUGAGGAAAUUAGAGUGUUUCAAGCAGGCUUAUGCCAUGAAUACAUUAGCAUGGAAUAAUAGGAUAUGACUUCGGUCAUAUUUUGUUGGUUUCUAGGACUGAAGUAAUGAUUAAUAGGGACAGUCGGGGGCAUUCGUAUUUAACUGUCAGAGGUGAAAUUCUUGGAUUUGUUAAAGACGAACUACUGCGAAAGCAUUUGCCAAGGAUGUUUUCAUUGAUCAAGAACGAAGUUAGGGAUCGAAGACGAUCAGAUACCGUCCUAGUCUUAACCAUAACUAUGCGACUAGGGAUUGGGGGUCGUAAUUUAGACGCCUCAGCACUCGUGA